GUAAAUGCUGGCUUUAGGGGAUAAACAAGCCGCUUCAUCAGGUGAAAAUGGAUCUGGAGCUCUCCCUGUGCAUUUGCACCUGGUGGAGCAGCUUGUUCAGUCCUACAAGCCAGCUGC
Ornithorhynchus anatinus (platypus) is the source of this 117-nucleotide non-coding RNA. NCBI's taxonomy places the organism in Eukaryota, Metazoa, Chordata, Mammalia, Monotremata, Ornithorhynchidae. The record is from RefSeq and is marked provisional.